Molecule: long non-coding RNA, 1021 nt
Filed under: Lepisosteus oculatus (spotted gar)
Lineage: Eukaryota; Metazoa; Chordata; Actinopteri; Semionotiformes; Lepisosteidae
Description: lncRNA (ENSLOCG00000023140.1)
Source: RNAcentral
AUGAUGUCGAUCUUCUCGCGUCCGUCUGCGCAGAACCGGCGCCCUCCAGCGGCCAGCCGGUCUCCAGCUCCGGCUGGCCUGACGCGUCCCCUGCUGUCUGUGUCCCCAGGCCAGGUGAAGAGGUCUUCCCCCAAGAAGCCCCGGAGCCGGAAUAUCUUCAGCGCUCUCUUCUGCUGCCUCAGAGCCCAGGAUGUGCCGCCACUGCCCCAGGCCCAGGGUACCCUGCCGCAGGCGGAGGAGAACGGGCCGGUUGCCAAGAUUCCCGGGCCCUGCCUGCUGCCCGAGGUGACCCCUCAGGACCAGGGCAAGAUGUGUGUGGUGAUCGACCUGGACGAGACGCUGGUGCACAGCUCCUUCAAGGUGAGGCCGCGGCACCUCGGGGCCCCUCCCGUGUUUGCGGGUGGGGGGCGGACAGGUCAGAGGUCAGAGGUGAAAGGGCAGUAGGGUGACUGUGCAGUGUCAGGAUCGCAAACACAGGGUGAGGGAAUGGGUUAUAAAAGCUUCCUUGAAACGGACUCAUACCAUUAAAAUGAGUGAAGUGUCGCACCCUUGUGAAACUGAUAUUCAUGGUCUUGGCUCUGCGGGGAGGUACAGUAGGGUUUUUCAUCAUGUAGAAGUUUUCAGUUAUUCACCCUGUGCUUUGGGCAUCAUGGGCAAGGACAGUGAGCAAUGCGCAGCUGGCAGAGAGACUGGUAUGAGGACAAGAGAACUGUUACACACGAGCGCAGCCCUUGGGCCCCUCUGAGCCGCCUGUCUGCCUUAGCCAGUUGAUCUCAUCUGGCCUCUCUCCUGAGAGAAUCCAGCUUUUCAGCGUCAAUAUCGCCGGGUAGCUAGUUCCACACUCCCACAACACUUUGUGUCAGCAAAUUCUUGGAUUUUAAUAAACUUCCACAUAGGUUCCCCUUGUGUCCUCCAUUUUGACAUAGUCAAGGGACUGAGACCGUGGGGUGUCAGGGGGUGUCACAUACCGGUCGAGGGACUGAGACCGUGGGGUGUCGGGGGGUGUCACCUACCGGUCGAG